Molecule: unclassified non-coding RNA, 23 nt
Filed under: Mus musculus (house mouse)
Lineage: Eukaryota; Metazoa; Chordata; Mammalia; Rodentia; Muridae
Description: oocyte_clustered_small_RNA10224
Source: RNAcentral
UGUCACUGGCAUAUUUGUGGGGU